This 253-nucleotide ribosomal RNA is filed under the name uncultured bacterium. RNAcentral describes it as "partial 16S ribosomal RNA". It matches the Rfam family "Bacterial small subunit ribosomal RNA", at positions 524 to 776 of the family's 1533-position model. The record is from RNAcentral.
UACGUAGGUGGCAAGCGUUAUCCGGAUUUAUUGGGCGUAAAGGGAACGCAGGCGGUCUUUUAAGUCUGAUGUGAAAGCCUUCGGCUUAACCGGAGUAGUGCAUUGGAAACUGGGAGACUUGAGUGCAGAAGAGGAGAGUGGAACUCCAUGUGUAGCGGUGAAAUGCGUAGAAAUAUGGAAGAACACCAGUGGCGAAAGCGGCUCUCUGGUCUGUAACUGACGCUGAGGUUCGAAAGCGUGGGUAGCAAACAGG